AUAUAUUAAUUUAAUUUUUUAAUUUAAAAAAUUAAAAAAUCUAUAUUAUACACAUCUUUUUUAACACGUGUCAGUGUCAUCAGGCCACAUCACACACUAACUGACGCCGUUUGAUGGAAUUGACGGAAAGGACUUAUUUGGAUCAAAUUAACAAAAAUAGGGACCUAAUUGAGACGUUAAAAAAGAAAGGGACCUAUUUGAAAUUUUGGACGAAAAUAGGAACCUAUUGAGACAUUAAACCUAAAAUAAAACAAAAGUAUAAAAUACAAACCAAUACAAAUAACUAACAGAAAAAUAUACAAACUAAACAGACACAUAUCUCCACCACCAUGAAACCACAGUAAUUAGCCACCCCCACCGCAUCCACCACCGCAUCCACCACCGCAUCCACCACCACCACAUCCACCACCGCCACAGCCACUUCCUCCGCCACAUCCACAGCAGCCACAGCCACCUCCUUCUCCACCAGUUCCAUAAACAGAAGCAGUGUUUGCUGUUGCAGCAGGAGGGGGAGUCAAAAUAACCAUAUUACCAUCUUUAGCAUCACCAACACCUCUGACUCUGUCAGAGCUAGCUUUGGAGGUAUGACACUGUUGAGCAUUGCUACCUGUAAAAGUUUUAUCCAAACCUUUUAAUCUUCCACUGCUCUUGGAUUCUUUAUCAUCCCUUUUAUUUCUUCCUCCGAAGCAACACCACCCCAUGUUUUCUUUUCGACGACACUGGCCUUCACUCUCAACUUCCUAUGCAAUUAAUAUAAGGUUAAAGUCCAGCGCAACGGAAGGUAUUGAAAAUUUCCCCGCAAUGACAUCAUAAUUUCC
RNAcentral lists this long non-coding RNA (818 nucleotides) under Vigna radiata. RNAcentral's name for it is "long non-coding RNA (VRAD_LNC011568)". The record is from RNAcentral. Lineage: Eukaryota; Viridiplantae; Streptophyta; Magnoliopsida; Fabales; Fabaceae.